Long non-coding RNA from Mustela lutreola (European mink), 4317 nucleotides. RefSeq lists it as uncharacterized. The record is from RefSeq and is a predicted model, not a curated record. The transcript is spliced from 2 exons. Lineage: Eukaryota; Metazoa; Chordata; Mammalia; Carnivora; Mustelidae.
GCACGGACCCGUUACUUAAACAUGUCACGUGCCCAGGAACUUAAAAUCCAUGGGAAUUCUGUUUCUUUCCUUCUCGUUGUUUAGGGAAAGACCUUGCAAAUAUAUGCCCCGAGGGAGCAUCACAUCUUCCCGGGGAUGGGGCUGCAAGGCGCUCCGGGGAAAUGUUGAUCCUGGCGUGAGUAUCCGUGCGAGCUGCUCCGGCUUCCCCGCACGUGAACCUUCCCGGAGGCGCUGGGGCACAACGUCCUGCACGGCAGAACCCGACAGAGCCGAGCUGCCUCCGGCUGGUCCGGGGUGCGGACGGGAUGAGGCCUCAGGAGUGUGCAGACAGGGUCCCAGGAGUGUGCAGACAGGGUCCCAGGAGUGUGCAGACAGGGUCCCAGGACGACGGCCUCCUGCUUCCAUGCACACGCGAGGUUGCUGGGAUCUAGAGCCAGGCAAGGAGCAGCCCCUGGAGAGCACUGGGGUGGGGACAGCCUCCUGCUCCUCCACUUGUCAGUCACAGGGCCUGGGGUCACAGGGCCAAGUGACACUGUGGUGGGGACCGUGUAGAUGCUGCCAGGAGGCCUCCUGUCCUCCUUGUGCUCCGCUCAUCUCGCCGGGAGACCUGCUGGAGGUGGUGCCCGGGUUUGCCCGUUGGUCCCAUCGGGCUCCAAGGCUGCAGGCUGGGCCGUGUGACCACGAGGGAGCCGCCCCCACAGUCAGAGGGACGCAUGAGAAGACCCUGCGGGGCCCUGCCACUCUCCCGGGUCUCGUCGAGGACCGCGCCAGCGCCUUCAUCGUAAAAGGCAGACAACUGUUCGCCCGUGUUUCCGCUUUCCGUUCCUCUGAAUGAGAGGACGUGUUCGUGCUUAUUUUAAUACAGUCACAGCUGUUGCAACCGGUAUGUUUGUAACACCCGAGUGUCAUCCCACCGCGGAAUGUCCCGCCCACACCGAGAAGCCCAGCCUUCCGAGAAGCUUCGGUCCCGGCCCCCCAAGCUGGCGAGAGGUGGCCGGAGGCCGGCGGGCGCCGGGUGAGAAUGCAAGAGGCUGGGGGUUAAAGGGCGGAGGAGAAGAGAGAAGACCCGGCGCAGUGUCCGCGGUCUUUGUCCUUCUAGAACUGGCCCUUGUCGGAGCUGUGGCCCCAGUGACCUGAGUGUCACCACCUGUGAACUUGGGCCAUCUCUGUCACCUGUGGGAAGGCUGGAGGAACCGAGCCCCUUUCAGUUCUAGCCCUUUGAGCGCUUCUUCCCCGCAGGGAUGCUGGCCCCCAGCCCUCUAGAGACUGCAGGUGCUCCUGGGGCGGGGACCUGGGACCCUCCAGCCCCUUCCUCUGACAUGAAAUGUCCGUGUGUAACACAUGCAGACCCUCAGGACCCAUGGGGCCGUUGGUCACAUAGCGGGGAGCUCCCGGGGAGUCUGCAGCUGGGCCUGUGGGCAGGCGGUUACAAAGGUCCCCGGAGCCCGUAGGUGUCCUAUGCUGGGGAGGGAACUUGCCAAGAACAUGGCUGAACACCUCUCGUGGUGCUUGGUCACCUGCCCAAGACAAAGGUCUCGGGCUCAGGGAGGUGGGGGCUGCGAGGUUCCUUUGGCGGUGGCUGUAGGUGUCCUGGUGUUGGAGCCCCACGACGGAGCUGGGUCUGGUCGUAAGUACAGGGUGGGGGUCUCAGCUCCUCUGGGGAUCUCCCCUGGGGAGGUGCCCUGCCCAGCCUGAAAACCCAAGGGUGAGGCUCAGCGGCUCCUGGGCCCCAGGUGGACGGACAGCAGGAGCUGCGGAGCUGGGGUAGGGGAUUCCAGCAUUUCCUGACCACUGUGGGCUGGGGACAGAGCCUUCGGGGAGCUCUGGACCCUGCCGUCAGGGUCGCGGCCGGCUCCCAUGGGCUGUGUGUGGGGUGGGCCACCAGAAACUGGGGUGAGCAGGGAGACAGCGGUCUGAACAGAAUCAGCUACCACGGCGUAGGAGGCGCCCCAAGACCAGGCCAGGGAAGUCACUAAGCCCCCUCAGAGGCCCCAGGCAGGGGUCAGCCCUGUGCAAGGGCAGGAGACCUCAGACCGCACCCGAGGUCAAGAAGAAAUGCGGUUUUUCUGGUGAGGGGAGGAGGGCAGCCAAGGGGUUGGCUGGUCCCCCAGCCUGUGUUCCUGCCCCUCGAGACCCAGUCGGGAGGCCGUGGGGAGAAGGCCCGUCCCUGGAUGGAGACGGAGGCAAGACGCAGUGGCCUUUCCAGCCCCGGGGAGCAGAGCGGCACAGUCCCGAGCAGACGGGCACAGUCGGCCCAGCUGGGCUCCCCGCUGCCCGGGACUUUGCUGCUGGUGAUCCCAGGCCGUUGAGCUACGAGCGUGCGAGGGGAAGGAAGCUCCUGGGGCCUCGCGUGACAAGCUCCACCGCGCGGGGGCCUUUUGGCUACCCCAGGUCACGCCGGAGCGGACCUUCCCUCAGCUCCCUGGAGCCCCCUUGGCCUCCUCUCCUCUGUCCUGCCUCUGCUCACUCUCCCCUUCGGCUCCACCCCCCGGGGCCUGCAGGGCCGGCUCAGCCUCCCGUCCUCCCACAGGCCCCUCCAAGCACCUGCUGCGGGGCCGCCAGGAAGCGCAUCUCUCACUUCCUCUUCCGUGCACACACGGUUUAAACCCAGCUUCGAACCAUAUCCUUGGGGCUUCACCGACCCUUACACUGUAAGACACUAGACACUCUCGCAUUCUUGAAGCAGGAGCCAAUGCCUUCCCACAGGGGAUGGACACACGCGGAUGCCCCCGUGCUCCCAAUGCCCGGGGGGCCCGGUGGCAGAAGAGGAGUCAGAUUCGUCCUCGUCCUGUUGGAAUUCACCCUUGAACGGGGGAGAUAUGCCAGCUCUGGGCCCCGGAAGCCGUGGUUGUGUUAGAAGUGAAAUACGGAUCCGACUGAUUAUCUGCAAACUCUCGCUUCCACAGAGCAGCCCAGCAUUUCAUUUAUUUUCUUCGCUGGUCCAGGAAUCUGCAGCUAAGGGUCAUGUUUUUUCCUGUUUGCCAUCACAUUUGCAGUGAACUAGACAUCAGAAUACCAGCCGACACGGUCGGUCAUUAGACCCAACAGAUACGGAGUUACUCUGCGCUCCGCCGGGCCUGCUGUCACGUCCUGUCCUUGGGCUCACGCCGCGCGUCAGGUCCUGGACAGAGGUUCGCCUCUCCGAGGGAGUCUGUGGGUGCUUGCACAUGUGUUAACGUGCCGAAUCUUCCACACGCACCUUUCAUAACGAGGAGACUCGGCCCACAUCCCGACAAGUGGGACGUGAGAGCCGGCAGAGGGGAGCUGCUUGCACAACACCGAGGCUUCCGUUCAGGCUUCGCUUUGUUUCUACCGUUAAUCCUGGCUAUGAUUUCUUCUUGGCUGUUUUCGAUCAAAACGACUGGUUUUACGUAGCACUUGUUGUGCUCUCUGGCUUCCCAGAGGAGGCGGCCAUGUGCGUGACAAGUGUGGGCUCAACGGGGUUGGUCCCCGAGCUGGGUCACAGCGCUCCACGGAGGACGUCAUCUCCCUGGUCCCUGACUGCUUUGGGAAACACCUAGUUAACUCCACGAAGGCCACAUGAUGCCCAGAGGCAGGCUCUGUGUUUUCUUCCCGCAGACGUCUUGCCUGCGUACGACACUAUGGUGUCCUCUGGAAAAGUGAACCACAUCCAGGCAGAAGCUUCUGAGCGACAUGCGUGGGUCCCGCACCAGCUGCAAGUGGCCGGGGACCCAGUGUUUGGAGGGGAGGCAGCUGGCGGUCCCGGGACACGCUGGAUAUCUCCUCUCUGGGGGCAUCACACUGGGAGGGUAGGAACCGGUCACACGGGGCUUUGUGUGUCCCAGAGGGAAGGAGCCCCUCAUCCUCGGGGACACAGACUCCUUGGCUGGAGAGGCUCCGCAGGGUGCGGCCGCCCCAAAUCAAAGUCUCUGCACCCAGGCUUUGUUCCAGUCCCCAUGCCCGAGCCCAUGUCAUGGUGCUGCAGCCAGCGCUCUGACACGGGAGGUUGGCGGGGCUCCGUGCGGGCUUCUCACGCACGGUGAGGCCUGGAGGUCAAAUAGCCUUUUGCCUUUUGCCUGGGCUUCUCCCCGCCCGCGCCCGUGUGUCCCGUGGGGUAUCUGAGCUCCUGCCGCGGGUGCGUGGGGGCAUCUCGGUGGGGCUUUGCGGUCCUUCACUCCAAUGACGGCUGCGGCGCGGCACCCGCCGGGGCGCGCUCUGGGAUCCCGUCUCUGCCAGUUUUUACGAUGGGUCGUUUCCUAAUUAUUAUUCCCAUCCUAGCCUGGAAGACUCCCUUGAACUCACUGAAAAGAGGUUAAAUAUUUGGUGAUAAAAAUAGAACGGAUUUCGAGAACACUA